ACUCCACUCCCAUGGGAAAUACCCAACAGAAUCAGACAGGAAACCCCAAAGUGCCACUGAAAAGCAAUUGAGAGCCCCGCUUUGGUAUACCUGAUGGGAGCGGAGAGUUAGAGCGGCAGGAAAUAACCUCCACUCCAGGGUAGAAGUAGACAGGAGAUGUGAUGGAAGGUUUCUGCAUGCUGGGACUAGCUCAGGUCAAAGUCCAGAACUCCAGAAAACAAGGCCUGCCCCCAGCUCAGAGCAGCUACCACAGCACAAAAUGGUGUGGAAUCCAGGAGCCAGGAUGAAGCGUGUGGGUAGAUGGUGAUUGGAUAGCUAACUGGCCUUUCCACUGCUCUAGCCUGGAACUGGUUGGGCUGGGGCAGGGGACAUGUUGGUCUGAGUAUAGAUUUUGUCAGAAAACCCAGGCACCACUCCCUUGCCUUUGUGGGGUGAUUCUAAAAUUGGACUGUGGUAAGGGUUGCACAACUCCACAAGUUUAUUAAAAUCAUUAAAAUGUAAACUUACAACCGGUGGGUUUUAUGGUAUGUAAAUUAUACCUCAAUAAAGCUGUCUAAUAUCUGCA
This 565-nucleotide non-coding RNA is filed under the name Pongo abelii (Sumatran orangutan). The record is from RNAcentral. Lineage: Eukaryota; Metazoa; Chordata; Mammalia; Primates; Hominidae.